CCUACGGGCGCUGCAGUGAGGUAUAUUGGUCAAUGGGCGCGAGCCUGAACCAGCCAAGUAGCGUGAAGGAUGACUGCCCUACGGGUUGUAAACUUCUUUUAUUAAGGAAUAAAGUGAGGCCCGUGUUCCUUUUUUUCUGUACUUUCUGAAUAAGGAUCGGCUAACUCCGUGCCCGCAGCCGCGGUAAUACGGAGGGUCCGAGCGUUAUCCGGAUUUAUUGGGUUUAAAGGGAGCGUAGAUGGGUUGUUAAGUCAGUUGUGAAAGUUUGCGGCUCAACCGUAAAAUUGCAAUUGAUACUGGCAGGCUUGAGUACAGUUGAGGUAGGCGGAAUUCGUGGUGUAGCGGUGAAAUGCUUAGAUAUCACGAAGAACUCCGAUUGCGAAGGCAGCUUACUAAACUGCAACUGACAUUGAUGCUCGAAAGUGUGGGUAUCAAACAGGAUUAGAUACCCGGGUAGUC
This 459-nucleotide ribosomal RNA is filed under the name uncultured bacterium. Its description in RNAcentral is "partial 16S ribosomal RNA". It matches the Rfam family "Bacterial small subunit ribosomal RNA", at positions 338 to 795 of the family's 1533-position model. The record is from RNAcentral.